AAGUCGUAACAAGGUUUCCGUAGGUGAACCUGCGGAAGGAUCAUUAACACGUUUCGUUCCGAACGUUUUCUGACCUUUUUCUUUUUUAUCCGUGCACAAUUCAAAACCCGGCUGUCAUUCAGUUCUGUCUCUUGUGCAAUUGUUUUCACUAACUUUGUGCUUUUGACGAAUUGGGCGCUGCCACUUUUCACCCAACCUUGAAUCUAAUUGUUCUGAACUUUUAGUUGAUGGGAAACUGUCAACGAAUAAAAAAAAUAAACAACAACUCUUAACAACGGAUAUCUUGGUUCUC
RNAcentral lists this unclassified non-coding RNA (292 nucleotides) under fungal sp. Its description in RNAcentral is "partial internal transcribed spacer region". The stretch from base 1 to 46 matches the Rfam family "Eukaryotic small subunit ribosomal RNA", at positions 1786 to 1831 of the family's 1831-position model. Lineage: Eukaryota; Fungi. The record is from RNAcentral.